Molecule: non-coding RNA, 26 nt
Filed under: Drosophila melanogaster (fruit fly)
Lineage: Eukaryota; Metazoa; Arthropoda; Insecta; Diptera; Drosophilidae
Also listed under: 5 other names
Source: RNAcentral
UCAGUCGGUAGAGCAUGAGACUCUUA